This is a long non-coding RNA of Notolabrus celidotus (New Zealand spotty), 314 nucleotides long. RefSeq lists it as uncharacterized. NCBI's taxonomy places the organism in Eukaryota, Metazoa, Chordata, Actinopteri, Labriformes, Labridae. The record is from RefSeq and is a predicted model, not a curated record. The transcript is spliced from 3 exons.
AGAAUGAUUUAAGUGGAAGUGUGAGGCGGACCAGCCUUGGGCGACGGGCCCCCCUCGCAGCAGCUGUUUGUGCAGAUAGCAUCUCCUGGCCCGCUCGCCUCAGAGGGGGAGCACUCCCCAUUAUCUGUCCCCAGAGAUGGAAAAACAAAACAGCGUCACCAUUAAAGAUACUCGCUGUCACUGUGGAGAAGGCAGGCACAGCUAGUUCCUUCUUGUAUUGAUGGUGUGCACCCCUCUACCUCCCCAUCUCCACCUGGUCUCCGCAAAGUCUUCAAUUCCUAGAAUUCAUCAACCACCACCACCAGUGUCUGGAC